GAUGAAGAACGCAGCGAAAUGCGAUAAGUAAUGUGAAUUGCAGAAUUCAGUGAAUCAUCGAAUCUUUGAACGCACCUUGCGCUCCUUGGUAUUCCUUGGAGCAUGCCUGUUUGAGUAUCAUGAAAUUCUCAAAGUAAAUCUUUUUGUUAAUUCAAUUAGGUUCACUUUGGAUUUGGAGGUUUUUUGCAGCUUCACACCUGCUCCUCUUUGUGCAUUAGCUGGAUCUCAGUGUUAUGCUUGGUUCCACUCGGCGUGAUAAGUUAUCUAUCGCUGAGGACACUUUUUUUUUGUUUUUUUUCUAAAAAUAAAUAAAUAACUAAGUGGCCAAGGGAAAUGCAGAUGAACCGCUUCCAAUAGUCCAUUAGCUUGGACAAAUAUAUUUUUAUGAUCUGAUCUCAAAUCAGGUAGGACUACCCGCUGAACUUAAGCAUAUCAAUAAGCGGAGGA
RNAcentral lists this unclassified non-coding RNA (447 nucleotides) under soil metagenome. RNAcentral describes it as "partial contains 5.8S ribosomal RNA, internal transcribed spacer 2, and large subunit ribosomal RNA". The stretch from base 1 to 120 matches the Rfam family "5.8S ribosomal RNA", at positions 35 to 154 of the family's 154-position model. The record is from RNAcentral.